This 2149-nucleotide long non-coding RNA is filed under the name Salvator merianae (Argentine black and white tegu). RNAcentral's name for it is "lncRNA (ENSSMRG00000018752.1)". Lineage: Eukaryota; Metazoa; Chordata; Lepidosauria; Squamata; Teiidae. The record is from RNAcentral.
AUGCGUUUUGUUAAACUGACCAGCUCGAAAACAAUGCCAGGAAACAAAGGGAGCGAGGAACGCAAGAAGACAAAUAAGGAAAAAAUGGUGAUGGACUCGCGCGCGCAUGAAAAGCAGGGCCCAGUGGAAAGACAAGGGAAUGUUUUUUUUAAAAAGGGGGGAGGGUCAGCAGGGUCUUUUAGAUGGCAAGCUGUGGGGAGAUGUUCCUCCAACAUUUUCCCACCUGCCCCCCCACCUUGUCUACCUGAAAAACGAGCCCGUCCUUUAAAGCCGGGAUGUGAACGGGUGAGCUGCGGAUGGGAGGCGGAGGGGAGGUUAAUUGCUCCUGCCAUGACGCACACGUUAAAUCAGUUGCUGCUGGAGAUCCUCCUUGUGUCCNGCCACGAGCAAAAGAGGGUUUACGCCAAGCUGCUUGGAGUAUAUAUUUUGAUACUGACAAAGACUGCAGAAAAGGAGGCGAGAAAGAGGUUAAAUUCCCUUGAUCGUCCAUUCCGGCCUCCAACUCUUCUUACCGAGGGGAAUGACAAUAUAGAACUGUCAUAGAAUCUUACAUUCUCUUCUUAACCAAGGGGCACUCUGUGUCCUCAGACGUCCUGGAGAUGCCAGGGAUUGAACCAGUGGCAUCCAGGCAGGUGAGUGCAGCUGGAAAUGUCUCCUGCCAGUGGCUAACACCCCUGGGGCCCUUCCACACCAUGGAAUGUUUGCCGGCAGUGGAACAGAUCUCGCAGUGCGGCAGCCACUCGAGGGCUGGAACAUUCCAGAAACGAACUUCCAGCACUCUCAGUGCAAAUGCUGGCCGCCCGUGCCAUGACAGUGGCGGGGGAAACUUCCAGCCGCUGCCAUGACGACCAAGAAUGCAGUGCGACUGCACAGCCACGCCAUACCGCACAGCAUUUGCACCUGGAUUUUGUACACUACGGCUAGUAGCAAUCACAAGCAACUAUAGCCUGCUCCUGAUUCCAGGGGUCUCUGCACGGUGCCGACAAAGUUCACUAGUGAGCCUGCAAACGCUAGUGAAAAGUGUGCGAAGAUCUUUAUUUAGAUUGAACUUCUGACCCACUGAUUUCCAGACAGUUAGUCUACCGCUGAACCGUCGCUAGCUCAGUCAACAAAACACUAGCACAUUAAUUGACCUGGAAAUGUACUUUAUUUGUUCUUCUGUAAUAUGCUUUUGGAACACACUCUGAUAUGCUAGGAGAGGUGCAAGUCCUCUGGAAGUACGGGNGUGGUGUUAAUUGCUGUAAAAGAACCUCGCUAAAUGCAAGGUGUGUCUGCAAUUCAAAAACAUGCCGUCCGGUUUCUCUUUCUCAGGCAUGGUGAAGCAACAGAUGGUNAACUUCUUCUACAAAUUCUUCUUCUAGUAGGUUUUUGACUUUUUUCCCUCUCACUUCUAGCCCAAGGAAUAGUUCUAUAUUGUUCCAAAGUAAAGACAAGCUAUUCAAAAAGAUGGCAUCCUGCAUUUCAGUACCAGCGGGUUCAGAUGAAGAUUAUUCAUUGACCUUUUCUUGUUCUCCAGAACUCAGAAGUUCUGUGCUGCGGCUCCUUUUGUGCCACCUUAUGGCAGGAGCUGUAGCCUGGAAAGCAGAGAGUUGCCGGUUCGAUCCCNAGCUUGGUUNGAUCCCCAGCUUCUCGCAUGAAGUGGGGGAUGGCAAACCNCUUCUNUAUCUCUGCCAAGAAAACUGCAUGAAGGUGCCCAUGAAGGUGCCCAUGUAAUCAAUCAGGAGUCAGCUGCAACUCAGUGGUAUCCAACAAUAACAUGUUUUUUGUANCCAAGAUCGCCUUAACCCCUUCCCUCUUUCACUCCUUUGUUAAUCCACCCACCCCUGCAAACAAUAGCAUUUUCUCCCAUUCUCUGCAUCAGAAAAAGACCAACAAUUUGUUCAUUCAUGUCAGGUUUUAACCAGUCUUAUUUCCAAUGUCAGUUGGGUUUUUUGGNAAGGGGGAGAAAGAAUUCUGGAGACAACCAAGCACCCCUACCAUCUCUUCUUGAAAGGUUAUACCGACAGUUUUUCUUGGGAGAUAUGGAGNCUUCUCNGUGGUGGCCCCCCAAGUUAUGGAAUGACCUUCCCUCUGAGGUGCAUCAAGCUCCAUCACUGAAUAGCUUCAGAUGCAGAAUAAAGGCUUUACUCCAGGCUUUGUGUGAAGAACU